This 558-nucleotide ribosomal RNA is filed under the name Scinax hayii (Hay's snouted treefrog). RNAcentral describes it as "partial large subunit ribosomal RNA". It matches the Rfam family "Bacterial large subunit ribosomal RNA", at positions 1849 to 2597 of the family's 2925-position model. Lineage: Eukaryota; Metazoa; Chordata; Amphibia; Anura; Hylidae. The record is from RNAcentral.
GAGGUCCAGCCUGCCCAGUGACAAAUGUUCAACGGCCGCGGUAUCCUAACCGUGCGAAGGUAGCGUAAUCACUUGUUCUUUAAAUGGGGACUAGUAUGAACGGCAUCACGAGGGUUACACUGUCUCCUCUCUCUAAUCAGUGAAACUAAUCUCCCCGUGAAGAAGCGGGGAUAAAUAUAUAAGACGAGAAGACCCUAUGGAGCUUUAAAUUUUCAUCCAGGCACUAAACUACCACCUUAAGUCACUGACCCUUACCACAAUCACCACGGCGCCCUGGAGAUGAAUUUUAGGUUGGGGUGACCACGGAGUACAAAAAAACCUCCACGCUGAACAGGCCUCUUAAGUCUUGAGCAAAGGGCCACAACCCAGAGCACUAAAAAACUAACACCCAUUGACCCAAUUUUAUUUGAUCAACGAACCAAGUUACCCUAGGGAUAACAGCGCAAUCUACUUCAAGAGUUCUUAUCGACAAGUGGGUUUACGACCUCGAUGUUGGAUCAGGGUACCCCAGUGGUGCAGCCGCUACUAACGGUUCGUUUGUUCAACGAUUAAAACCCU